Papaver somniferum (opium poppy) is the source of this 1291-nucleotide long non-coding RNA. RefSeq lists it as uncharacterized. The record is from RefSeq and is a predicted model, not a curated record. The transcript is spliced from 4 exons. NCBI's taxonomy places the organism in Eukaryota, Viridiplantae, Streptophyta, Magnoliopsida, Ranunculales, Papaveraceae.
AGUUUUGGCGCACUAAACCCCGCGAAAUUUUCACCAAAAAUUUCAAUAAAAUUCUUUUCCUUACCCUGGAACCCUAGCCGCAUCUUUGCUUAUAAUGUUUAUUCUUCGUUUUCUCGACCUAACCUUGUAAAAAAACCCACAGACAGGACUUUAUUCCCAUUCACCACCAAAAGAUAAUCAAACAAGAAGAUAACUUUCUCUCACCAAAAUCAAAAACCCAAAACUUCUCUUAGUUUUUAAUCCACCCUAACCGAAACCCAUCUUCGAAUCUGAAUGAUUUUUGUUCGACAAAAAAAAUCAUCAUCAACAACAACGUCAAAUGCCAUAAAAAAACCCAUAAAUUUUUUGAUUUCCCAACCAAAUCUUUAACCCGAUUCGGAAUCCGGCUUCAGAUUAAUGCUCAGUAUGUUGUAAAUCUGCAUUACCCAUAAAAUGUUUUCGUAGUCAAUUAGUCAAAUCAUUUGCAAGUUACAACUUUUCGAUCUAAUGGAGGAAAUCAAAGUUUAUCCGAAUGUAACUGUAAAAUCCAUUAAUCCGGCGUGGAGUCUGGUUCAUUUGAAGGAAUUGGAUGUUUGGGUAUCCAUCAGCAGCUGAAAUUAAUCACCAGUAUGGGGAAAAAACAAAGCAAGUGAGAAGCUAAAGGCAGGACCCAGCUGAGAAGACAUGCGCUCUGGCAGCGAGAGAUAUACUGAAAGAAAUGGAUGUUAAUACCGGAUAUUCAGUUUGGGAAAACGGCAGGUCUGAUAUUGGUGGAGUACAUUGGAUUAUAUUAGAAGCAGUUUAAUGGCGAAGACUACCAUGUUGAGUUCCCCUUUUGAAGCUCUAGCCCAUAUGACAUGUCUCUUUUGAGAUGCCUUUACUGCUUACCGGCUCACUUGUUAGAACCGAUGCUGUAUAUGCAUCCUAUCAAAGACUAGGACAGUACAUGAAUGCCAUAAAAAUACUGGAAAUCUAUGGCUGAGAACAUGAUAAAUCUGGUAAACUGAAGCUUGCAGAGCUGUUGCGGACUGUUAUACUGAAAUUGAACAAGCUGGGAGAUUCUGUGAUAAACACAUUACUCCAAGACUAAUGUUUUACAUUUAGUGUUUCGACAUGUAGAGAUCUUUCAACAUUGUUAGAGGCUCUAAUUUUCUUGAACUUUGAAAACAUUUCGUUUAACUCAGAAAUGUUUGGGCUAUUAGAAAAAUUUUUUGGAGAACGAUAAGGACAAUGCACUUUGUGACAUCUCAUGGCAACGAUUUAAGAACUUUAUAUAUGCACGUAGAUAUAGUUAGUCUAACUAAAGACAUUA